This is a long non-coding RNA of Xiphophorus couchianus (Monterrey platyfish), 309 nucleotides long. RefSeq lists it as uncharacterized. The record is from RefSeq and is a predicted model, not a curated record. The transcript is spliced from 4 exons. Lineage: Eukaryota; Metazoa; Chordata; Actinopteri; Cyprinodontiformes; Poeciliidae.
CUAGAUGCUAAAGGAAGCUCGACAUGUGUGUUUCAUCUUUUCUCAAUCGCAGAGUCGCACAUUGAAAGAACGAAAUUUACACUUCAACCUGAACCCAUCCAAGCUACAGACAUGUUGUCCCACUGGGAGUUUCUGCAGGACAGCUUUGAUUUGCUGCUCCAUUGCAAGGCAGGCUAUGUUAAGAAAGGUCAGAAAAGACAGAGGCAGAAGGCUCUAGUCUGGGCCCUCUCCGAGAGAAACAGAAGGACACUCCGAGCCUGCCUCCCACCCGCCCUGUUGUAGGGGAAGGCAAUUGGGGGCAAAAGCUGU